UCGUACUGCCAGGAAGCUCCGCAGUCACCGACAGGACCAGAAAUGGCAUGAUAAACAGUAUAAGAAAGCCCAUUUGGGUACAGCCCUCAAGGCCAACCCUUUUGGAGGUGCUUCCCAUGCCAAGGGGAUUGUGCUGGAGAAAGUAGGGGUUGAAGCCAAACAACCGAAUUCUGCCAUCAGAAAGUGUGUCAGGGUCCAACUAAUCAAGAAUGGCAAGAAGAUCACA
Long non-coding RNA from Tupaia belangeri chinensis (Chinese tree shrew), 226 nucleotides. RefSeq lists it as uncharacterized. The transcript is spliced from 2 exons. The record is from RefSeq and is a predicted model, not a curated record. Lineage: Eukaryota; Metazoa; Chordata; Mammalia; Scandentia; Tupaiidae.